UACAAAUUUCAAUCUAUAAGCCAAACUAGUAGAUGGAUGAUGUUCAUGCAAUAAGAAUGGAACAUUCAAAAACAUGGAAUCCACAGGCAGAAUAAGAUCACUAAUUGUCAUACCAUAUGACAUAGCAAACAUGUUCAAACACAAACUACAUAGCUGCAACUAUACAUUCCACAGUAUGGAAUCAUAGAAGCUUAGUAAGCAGAAGAGCACAAAUAAUACAAGCAUACCCAAUGUUCUUCAUAAAUACGAGUCAUAGCAGCAAAAGUAGCAGCAGAUCACUGCUCACUUCGUAAUUAGUCCCACAUGGCCCUGAACCAAUUCAACCAUCCACGCUGCUCCUUCCUCCCCAUCCUCCUCCCAAAUUUGAGCUCCUUCUUGCCCAUCUCCAUCUCCUCCUCAUCAUCGGAGUCCGAAUCCGAGUCCUCCUCGUCGGCCCUCUUCUUCUUGUGCUCCUUGUUCUUUCUCGUCCUCCUCCUCUCCCCUUCCCACUCCGUCGCCAAAGGCCACUCCAUCCGGCCCUCCCUGCCCUCGGCCUCAGAUCCGGCGUCCACUUCGCCGCCCUUGGGGAGCGGGAUCAUGUCGUUUCCGUAGGGGACGAUCCUGACGCCGUGGAACCGGUGGCCGUGGCGGUCGUGGUGGUGGUGGUGGCAGCGGUGGCGGCGGAAGUGGUGGUGCACGGGGCGGCGAAGAGAGAGGUCAACGUGGUCGAAUCCCUCGACGAAUUCGGGGAUGGGAUGCUCCGACGUUAUCUUCUCGAUCGAGGCGGUUAGGGUUGUCAGGUCCGCAUCCUCGGCCGGGACCAGUUCGGCGGUCGUCGGAUCGAAGUCCUCCGGCACCUCACGGAAGUCGACGGCCGUGGUCGCGUCGGGGGCGAGGGGGACGCGGGUGGCGUGGGAGAGAAGGAAGAGGAGGGAGAAGACGACGGAGAGGAUGACGGAGAUCUUGACGGAAACCAUGGAUUCGGGUAACGGCGGUCAAUUCUAAGAAAUGUGCGUUUGUGGGACGCUCUGCAUCCGUUAUUUAUAGAUGAAGGCAACGGAGUGACCGGUCAACCUCGAUGGUAAGAAUAAAACCACUCAUUUUUAAUACUUUUAAUUUGUUUUUCUUAAAUAUUCUUUAAGUUUGAUUUAUAGAUGAUAAUUAUCAUAUAAAUAGUUAUAGUUCCCAGAAAAUGCUUUUGCUUUUUAUAAAAUAAAGCAUCUUAAAUAGUAUCUUAAAUUAAACAAUUAAUUUUCUUAAAUAGUAUCUUUAAUUAAAAAAUAUAUUAACUAUCUUUCAAAAAUUUUCUAGUGUUUUAACCUGUUAUAAUAUUUUGAUCAUCAAAAUAAAAACAUUAUAAGACUUACACAGUAAAAGUAUUGUAAGAUCAAUUCAAAAAUAUUAUAAAUAAUCUACAUGAACGUUUAACCUUAAUCAAAUUAAUUAUAAAUAUAAAAAUAUAAUAUUAUAAUAAUCUAUGAGCAAUAACAAUCAACAAUAUGAUAUCACUUAUAAUAUUUUUAAUAUCUUAAUAAAUCACUAUAACGUCAUUGGAAAACAUGGUAAAGAAGUCAAAUGAAAAUAUUCUAAUAGUUAAAAACUGAUUAAAAAUAUACAAAAAUGUUUGAUACAAUUUUUUUAGGGAUAUUUUAGGUUUUUUAAAAUUAGAGAUACUGUUUGAAAAAAAGAGAAAUUUUUUUCAAAAAAAAUAUAUAAAAUAUGAAAACUCGAGGAUUAAGUAUUUAGAUAUCUUUUUCCCGACAUCAACUGAAUUAAACUAGCAAAAAGAAUAUAAUAUAUCAGAGAGCAUAUAAAUACAUUGCUUGUUUCCUAUUUUAAAUUUUACAGCCUGGCACCACACAACUAUUAUAGUCUUAGAAUUUACGUGUAUUCGGUGCAGGUUAAACGUGGAAAGUCGUCUGAAUCAAUUAGUUUAAUUACGACCUGCUUCACUUUCUCUGGACUGCACAACACGCGGACGAUUUAGUCAAACGAUUACGCACACGCUGCUGUCAUUGAUUGCAACAACACACCAAUAUAAUCUUCGUUCCUUCAAUCAUGUUGCAUUGCUUAACAACGAAGGAGCCUCAGUCAAUUGUAUCUCCAAAUUGACCACUGCAGCUGUUCGUGGACUUCGUCCCUAAAGGACAACAUGUGGGAAAGAUCGAGAAGACAAGAAGGUCGGAAGAGGAGAUGGAGAGGAAGAGGUCGGUCACGGGUAGGAUUCUAGGAGAUAGAAAACUAUUAACAGGAAAUGGAUAAAAAGAGGGAAAAGAUAUAAAUAAAAUAAUUAUAUUAUAUGUGGGUUAACAAUUGUGAUUUAUAUUAGUUAUGAUUGAAUAACUUGGUACUUUGGAGGAUUUGGAUUUGGAUUUGGAUGAUAUAAGAUAGGAAAAUUAUGGCUUCUCCCUAAAUAUUUCUUUUUCAUACAUUUUCUAUUUUCACAUAAAAUUUCUGGCACCUCCGCUUUCCGUUGAUCCUAUACGACAAAGGUCCGAUGGGCUUUCCCUUUAGCCCAAUGCAGGUCCCUAACUCGACUUCCGCCCGCUCACCCUUCACUCGAUUCUCUGCCCUCGCUUUCGCCUAAUCCCUAAUCGAGUCACUCUUCGGCUCCGACAUGGUCGAUGGUGCCAAUGCCCUCCUCGCUGAUUCCUUCGCGGAAACCUCAACUUUCCCACGGACCCGUUUCUUCGGUCUCCUCCUCUCUCUCUACCCUGUCAAAUCCGAUGAUUCUUUGCCGCCGCAUCCUUUCGCUACUCCAUUCGGUGACCCUCAGAAUUCUGAUGAAUUGCCACUGCAAGUCGGGCCGCUUGGACGUCGCACACCAAGUGUUCGAUCAUACGAUAUAUGGUUAUUGAACUCCACGUGAUCCCUUGCAAUGUAUUAAUCCAAUUCUUCAGAAGGAAAGGACGGAUCUUUGAUGCAUUCAACGGUCUACGUGAGACGCGGAAGAGCAGGCCGAAUCGGCGGGCAUACGCAAUUGCAGACGAUGCGGAAGACGGUUCUUUUAACGUGACUCGUUUGCGAAUUAGGUUGGUUCCGAGUGCGAUCGCUUGUAAUUAUGGUUUCGAUGGGCUUGAUAAAGAAGGAAAGGUGCAAGCUUCGAGGGUUCAAGUUGGAAAACAGGGGAAAUGUGGUAUCAUAAGCUGGUUUUACCAGUAAAAGAAAGAUUGAAGAUGCAAAGUAUGGUUUUUGUCGAUAUGUCUGACAAGGGGUUAUGUCCGGAUGCUACGACAUACGCAGGCAAAUUUAAUAAUUUAUUCUAUUGUCUCGCAGGUGUUUUGCAUAGAGUUGAGAUUGAGGAAUAAUUUUGGUGCUUCACGAAUUUUUUUCUAACUGCUGUUGUGCAUCUACUGGUAAUUCCUCUUAUUCUCAAAUAUGUUUGUCAGUUUGUUCAACUUGCCAUUCUCAGAACACAAGAAACAACCAAAACAAAUUAGAAAAGGUUUCAUCAUGAGAAAUGCUGACGCAAUGUGGAUCUUAAGCUACAGUUUUGAGGAGAAAUUAAUUCAAAAUAUGAAGUUAGAAAAUAUGAAGUUGUGCUACCUAAGACUUCAAAGCUGAUGACGCUGGUAAUAAACUUCAUGGUGCUAUCAAGGAUAUAGUGGCUUGGUCUAGUGAACUUUGAAACUCUGAUUAUUUGAUCUAAACUUUGGUAUCAGUGCUUUUUUACAUUCACAUUGUUUGUUAAAAUUUUUGUUGCAUUCAUGUAUCUAUUUAGGCUUUAUUAGUUUGCGUUUUCUUUUCUUGUAUGCAUUUUGGGGAAAAUGAGUUAUGAGGGUCACCUCACAUACAUGGGAGGCAGAAGGUUCUCAAAAAUCUGAGAAUUAGUUUCUAGAUUUUUUUAUGAAUUACUUUCCAAUCUUCUUUUCCUUUUGUUGUUGUCGUUACUGUCGGAUGUGAGUUUCUUUUAGUUUGUUUCAGUAUUCUUGUGUAAUUUUUCCAUGCUGAUAGAUGUAUAAUGAUGGUAUGUCUCAUCAGUGAUGAUUGUGGUACUAAGGAAGCAGAACUUGUAUGUCUGUUGUAGCAAUUCACCUUUAUCUUAUGAUGCCAUGAAGGUUUCAUACAUCAUAUUGAACUUUUUGAUCACAUCUGUUUUUGUAAAUGUUUCGUUCUGCUUGUUUUACAUAUUUGGGAAUCUAGGUAAAAAGGAUAUUUAUGUACUUGCCAUAAUACUUGUAAAUUGCAUUUGCUUUGUUUUUGUCGAACAUCUUCUGUGCAUUCAUGUGGUGACUAUUUAUUUGUCUGAAAACUAUCCUUCCACCCAGUUGUGCUAGACAAUAUUUCUUUAUGAGCAAACCCACACUGCUUUCGUGCAGGGCACUAGGUUCUAACUUUGACCUUGCAGAGUAUAGCUUCUGACAAUGGCUUUAUCAUGACGGAGCUGCAUGUUGAGAUUAGUAAUGUGUCCACCAUAGUGGUUGCUACAUUGACUGCAUUUCCACAUUCCAGACAGUAGAAUUUGCUACUGGAGAUUGUGGUGACACUCUCUGCACAAUAAUAAAGUAAAAGCUUUUGAUGUAUUUGUGCCAGUACAUUCUAGUGUGCAUGUGCAUUUGAAGCACGUCUGUUUGUACAAUGCAAAUAUAUGCAAAUGCUACUUGUGUAAUUCAUUAGCUUUAGGUUUAUAAAUGUAGCACAAUCAUGAUCAAUGUUUUAUUUUAGUCUUUGACAAUAUGCAGAAUUGAGACUUGUAGUUACAUGAGAUAAUAUCAAAGGUGUGGUUGUUUAUCCUCCUCAACAUAACUCAUUGCUAAAUAGCUCCUCUUGUUUUCUCUUGCACUAAUAAUAACUUACAUGAUGUAAAUUGCAAACUCAUGAGUAUUUUCACAUUUUCUCGCUGGCAUAGUCUUAUUAUUUUGAUAUAUAUUGAUCCUCAACAAGUAUAGCAAUAUUAGUCUUUAGUUUUGAACUUAUUUCUGAUUGUCUUGCAGUUCUUUGUUCACCUAAGUGGUAUUGUGAAAUAAUAGGAUUGGUUCUUGCCAUGUUCUUCUGCAUACAACCAUAUAUUUGAUCACUUCAUAUCUGUCUGAACUAAUUUGCUUCUCUAAAUAAGCUGCAAUUCAAGUGUAAAUUUAAUUUUGACUCGGAACCACCAAAACUACCUGGUUCUCAUUAGAGAGACUUAACACAAUCAAACUUGUAGAAGCACAAGGACAAGGCAUCUCUACAGUCUUUUAGAUAAUAAAGCUUGAAUAUAAGUACUUGAACUAAUCUAAGUCAAAUCAAAUCUAACUUAUAAAAGCACAAGGAAAUAACAUCUCUAGAGAUUUUGGUAGAUGAUAAAAGCUUGUCUCUAGUUACUUGAAAUUAAGUAUUCAAAAAUCUAUUAGUCACCUAUAUGAUGAAAACAAAGAGAUGCUACUAACUUCAUUCCAGUUGUUUGUUUCAUUUUCUUGUGUCUUCUUAUCCUUGGUGUUUGUAUUUUCUUAACAAACCCAAUGAAUUUUCUUUAGAAGAAAAUUUUCAAUGUAGUAUCAUGAUUUCAACUUUCAUGCCCAGUAAAAUUUUGACACAUCCUAUGUGCAUGCUACAGAUAUGACUAUGUUUCAUCUAACACGUCCAGAGAUAUACAUAUUUGUAUAGCCCCACACGCUUAUUCAACUCUUAGCUCCUAGUGGUCUCUGAUACAGAUCCAUUCCUGUUUCUAGACUGCUGGUUCAUGUAGCUAUAUUCAUAAUGAUUGUGAUACCAAUGUAGCAGGGUUUGCUUCCCACUGUCUUGGCAAUAACCAGUUAACCACUAGUCUUUUUUUCACUUUAUUUUGCCACAUAUUUCUUUCAUCAUCUUAUAUGAGAAAGUUACUGUUAUCAACUGUAGUCAGAGAACCAACAUAUUUUCAUUGGUGAAAAACUUGUACUGAAGAAUGUGCUAGAACAAAAACCUGGAAUCUUACAUGUAAGAUCAUGUCAUCCAGAUCAAUAGUAUCUCCAUUGUCUUUCACAGUCUACAAGGGACUCUUAACUUGUGUCUCCCUUCAGGGCAGUGGGGACUCUCAAACACCAGGAGACCCCAGCUUAUUGGUGACUACUGUUUACUACUAUGCAUGGACAAACUGGGCAAACAAUAAAAGUAUCUGAUCUUCCCAAGUUAUUUAUUAGUAGAACUACCCAAUACUUAGUCCAGUGUCAUCAGCUCAUUGCUGGUGGUUGACUUUCUUCUCUCUGGGUUGCAAGUGGAUGAAUGAUGAAACUGGCAAGGCUGUUUGCACUUCUACUGUUUCGGUUUGGUUUAUUCCAGAGAAUCACAUCCAGGGAUGAGAUUAUUAAACUUGCUUAUCUUGCUAACUCUGCUUGAACUUAUGGAAAGUGUACUCAUGGCAUCUUUGCAUUGCCAGCAUUGUUGGUUUACAAUUAGCAACUACAGCAUGAUGCAUAUUGGUCAACCAUAAGGAUCAUCUUAUGUGUGUGCACUGCAGAUACUUUUAUCUGGAUAUCUGACCACUGAGCAUUUGCUGCUGUUUCUGAGACUAAUGCACCACUACAAAUGCUUCAUCAUCUGUAGUUGUACACCUUCUUGUGCAAUUCAUAUAUCACCUAUUCAAACACUCGAGUGAUGGGCAAGUUAUCUACUCUCUCAAGUGAUGGAAUAAGCUAUUUGAUGACCAGUUCAGUGCAAGUAAACUGGACACCAGCUUCUGACAUUUGCUUAUUAAUGGUCACUGAGUUUAAGGGCUGAGUACAUGACUUCCCUUGUUCCCUGAGGAUUGUACAAAGGACAGAUAUUACUAGUAAACUGCCUUGAGUCAACUGUAGGUAUUACAGUAUUGCUGUUUAGGUAAUGUGCAGUUUUUGUUAUUAGAAAACUGCUAGUGGUCAAAGCAUCUCUCAUAUUCCCAAUAGCUUUGCUCCAAAAGAUAAUCUGAUCUGAGUCUCAAAAACAUUAGCCACAAGAUGAGUUUUUUUUUUAUUUAAAUCAUGUUAGACUUUUUGGGCUUCCAUACAAAAUAAAAGCUUUCCAAAGUCAAACUAUGAAAACCACAUAGAGCCUGACUUCAAAAACAGAGUCUCAUGAAAUUUCCUGGCAGCUCUGGACUGAGUUUACUACACUAGUAUUUGGUACAGUCAACUGUAUUAUUCAUUCCAAGCUUGAAGACGCAUCUCCUGCAGUCAAGCAAGCUCUUGGUUCUUCUCAACCACUCUCACCUCCUUUGCAGAUCUGAGAAUGGCUGCCUGAAGGAAGGAGGACAUCAAAAGACAACAUGGCAUUUCCAUCAGGGGUGACACAAAACAUCUUAAAUCCAAGAAGGAAUACCUGCUUUUUGGUUAUCUCCACUGAGAAGCCAUCAACAAUUGCCAGAGAGGACUUCUUCCUGUAGGAGUUUGGUGGGAGAAGCUUUGCCAGUAGCUGGUCAUGCUUGUGACUCAG
RNAcentral lists this long non-coding RNA (7347 nucleotides) under Musa acuminata (dwarf banana). Its description in RNAcentral is "long non-coding RNA (MACU_LNC002422)". The record is from RNAcentral. Lineage: Eukaryota; Viridiplantae; Streptophyta; Magnoliopsida; Zingiberales; Musaceae.